Molecule: ribosomal RNA, 403 nt
Filed under: Verrucomicrobiota bacterium
Lineage: Bacteria; Pseudomonadati; Verrucomicrobiota
Description: Verrucomicrobia bacterium partial 16S ribosomal RNA
Rfam family: Bacterial small subunit ribosomal RNA
Source: RNAcentral
UGGGGAAUUUUGCACAAUGGGGGAAACCCUGAUGCAGCGACGCCGCGUGAUUUAGAAGGCCUUCGGGUUGUAAAAAUCUUUUGUAUGGGAAGAAAAUGACAGUACCAUACGAAUAAGGACCGGCUAAUUACGUGCCAGCAGCCGCGGUAAUACGUAGGGGGCUAGCGUUGUCCGGAAUCACUGGGCGUAAAGGGUUCGCAGGCGGAAUAACAAGUCAGAUGUGAAAGGCAUGGGCUCAACCCAUGUAAGCAUUUGAAACUGUAAUUCUUGAGAAGUGGAGAGGUAAGUGGAAUUCCUAGUGUAGCGGUGAAAUGCGUAGAUAUUAGGAGGAAUACCUGUGGCGAAGGCGACUUACUGGACACAAAUCUGACGCUGAGGAACGAAAGCGUGGGUAGCAAACAGG